RNAcentral lists this long non-coding RNA (750 nucleotides) under Marmota monax (woodchuck). The record is from RNAcentral. Lineage: Eukaryota; Metazoa; Chordata; Mammalia; Rodentia; Sciuridae.
GUCCAAUCUGUGCACCUAGUUACCUCUAGGACUUGGUGGCCAACUCUUCUACCAGAGGCCACAGGACUGGUACUAUGCCUAUGUGCACAGGUGUUCCUGGGCUCUUCGUAGGACAAGGCCCCCUCAGUGGCACUAUGCCCACAGCUGGUAUUAAGGGGACAAGUUGAAAAGCCAUGAAGACGCAGCUCAUCACAUACCAGAAACCUAAAUGAGAGCCACAGUUUUUCAUCAGAGGUCGCCAGACCCAAAGACACACAAUCACAGGUUACAAGCCUGAAAGAAAAUAGACUGUCAACCGGAGUAUGUGACAAAACCGUCCAUUACAAAAGAAGAUGAAAUAAAGACAUUUCCAGAUAAACACUGAGGGAGUUCAUUAUUAGUGGGCCUUGUUAAGACAGAAUGCGCAAAGAAAUCUCCAGAGACAAACUCUCGUGUUCCGAAAGCAAAGCUUAUUGACAGGAAAAGCCUGCCAGGCUGCCCAGUUGAGUGGCACAGCAGACAGAGUUAUCUUAAUAGGGUUUUUAAUGUCCUUCAACAAGGAAUAAGUGUUAGGUGCAGGGCAGGGUGAACUAAGUUGUCUGCAGGGCAGGCUGAAUGAAUGUUAGCUGCAGGAUAACCCAGGCACUCAAACCCCACUGUCUGGUCCUUUAUCACCUGUUUGCAUCAAGUCUGAACACUCAAUCCCACUCAAGGCUGAACACUCGACCCUCACCCUUCGGGUGCAACAGAAACCCACUUCUGACCCCUGUG